GCGAAAUAAACAAUUCUCCCCAGAAAACACCGCCCCACUCUUCAGACAGCUCUUCUCUAGGGAGGCUGAGAUGGCAGACAUUUUAACUUUCCACAGUUAAAAUUUUUUUUUAUUUUUAUUUUUGGCUGUGCUGGGUCUUCGUUCCUUUUGCACAGGCUUUUCUCUGUUUGGGGCAAAUGGGGUCUACUCUGUGUUUCGAUGCACCGGCUUCUCUUACUGCUGAGCACAGACUCUAGGCAUGCAGGCUUCACGUAGUUGCAGCUCGCAGGCUCAGUAGUUGGGCCCCAGAGGUUUAGUUGCCCCUCUGCACGCGGAAUCUUCCCAGAUCAGGGAUUGAACCCCUGUUCCUUGCAUUGGCACGUGGAUUCUUACCAAAUCUGCCACAAAACAAAGGGAAGUCUUUGUUUUCACAUGUGCACAUUUCUGAACUCAGGGUAUAUCUGACAAAUGAUGCCCUUUCAUAACUAUUUGGCAGUACUUUCUCUACAUAAAAGAACAGUAAAGUACUACAAUUAAAGGCCUUCUACUCUAUUAAGUGGAGUAGUUCAAAAGCUGGCUCUCAUUGACUCAAGCAGAUCACGUGCCUCUAGCUGGCCAAUCACUGAGACUUUUGUUACACCUUAGUCAAGUGUGUCUCAUUGGCCCAAGAAGAUCACAUGCCUCUGGCUGGCCAAUCACUGUGGCUCUUGUUGUUAGGCCUUAAUCAGGUGCUUCUUUGCUGUUAAGGGUUGGGGGUCUGCAUCCCUUAAGCAGGAGGACCAGCAAAGAAAUGGUGGUUUCCAAGAAGAAAGUCAAAGUGUUGUGGUCAGAAGAGAGACGGUGGAUUCCAGGCAGAAAGAGACAACUGCUGUUUCGUUUUGAGAUUCCAUAAGAAUAUGUCUGUGGAACAAUGGAAGCCUACAAGACAGGCUAGGCUUCCUGGGAAUGGAUUCCACAAGGAAGGAAAUGCCAGCCAAUGGGCGAGUCAUGUCCCCUGCCAGAGCACGUCUCCUCUCGCUAGCACUGCGAUCACACAUGUUUCACAAUCCCCACAUCUGCUCUGCUAGUGGCUUCAGAGUGGGAGUUCCGAAGACAGUCAGAACAACUUGCUGAUGGAGAAAGAAACCGAAUACAGACCUGGCAUGCCGGGAAGUGGGGGUGGGGAAUGACUUUAUCAUCAUCAUUCUGUUUCUCUCUCUUUAGAAGGUCAGGUUGGCUGUGUCAAGGAAAGCCCUCGAAGGUGGUAAUUCUGCCUUUGACUUCAGCCGGUAGACUUGACAUGCACUCCCCAUGGUAGCUGGUUUGUGCUGAACCUGUCACUGCCUCUUCAAAACAUUGCUGGUUUCCAUGGGAACAGAGCAGCACUUACUGAAAGAGCUGCUGGAAAUUUCAAGAUGUCCAAAACUGUCCCUCUAAUGUGUUUUUCUAAGACCUGAUUUGAAAGAGAAACAAUAGCACAACUUGGCAAAGAAGACAAUGGAAGAGGAAUGAUAAUAAGAGUGGCUUGACAGCGUUUGUGGAUCCCAGCAUGCUGUCUUGAUUCUGCCCUUUAGAAAUCAGUCCCAGGGAGAUACUGGCUGAAGCAGAUUCAUGAUCCACGGGCUCCUGACUUCAGACGUGGCUUUGUUAUGGACAGCAAGCCUAUUUGCUGUUUUCAGAGUUUAAAUCUCCACAGGACAAUGCAGCAACAUAACUGGGAAUACACUUGCUAAAUGAGCCUCUUGCAUGCCUGUCUACCUCCUACUCUCUGAGCUAAAAAAGAGCUCAGCAACUGGGAUGAUUAUAUAUCUAUUUUUUAAAGCCACUCUGUAAGGUGGUAACGUGAAAUGAAAGAUAAUGCUUUUCUUUAACCGUUGUCAGGUUGGCAUACCAGAAGAUGAGAUUUUUCUUUUCAUCUCCUUUAAUUAAUUUUUCAAAAAUAGAUUCGAAAAAGAAUUAGA
This 1919-nucleotide long non-coding RNA is filed under the name Bos indicus x Bos taurus (hybrid cattle). RNAcentral describes it as "lncRNA (ENSBIXG00000013807.1)". Lineage: Eukaryota; Metazoa; Chordata; Mammalia; Artiodactyla; Bovidae. The record is from RNAcentral.